Molecule: ribosomal RNA, 396 nt
Filed under: Bacillus sp. ASTYF6
Lineage: Bacteria; Bacillati; Bacillota; Bacilli; Caryophanales; Bacillaceae
Description: bacterial SSU rRNA
Rfam family: Bacterial small subunit ribosomal RNA
Source: RNAcentral
ACCACGUAGGAAAUCGGGGCUAAUACCGGAUGGGUCAUCGGACCGCAUGGUCCGAGGAUGAAAGGCGCUUCGGCGUCGCCUGGGGAUGGCUUUGCGGUGCAUUAGCUAGUUGGUGGGGUAAUGGCCCACCAAGGCGACGAUGCAUAGCCGACCUGAUAGGGUGAUCGGCCACACUGGGACUGAGACACGGCCCACACUCCUACGGGAGGCAGCAGUAGGGAAUCUUCCACAAUGGACGAAAGUCUGAUGGAGCAACGCCGCGUGAACGAUGAAGGCCUUCGGGUCGUAAAGUUCUGUUGUAAGGGAAGAACAAGUGCCGCAGGCAAUGGCGGCACCUUGACGGUACCUUGCGAGAAAGCCACGGCUAACUACGUGCCAGCAGCCGCGGUAAUACGA